AAUUACUUUAAACUGACUGAAUUCUGUAGGCAAACACAAAGACACCGGAUUCUUAAUGUCGUCGCUUUGGUCCAAUUGCAUAAACAUGUGAUGAUCAGCUUCAGAGAAGUCAAAAGGAAAGUAGGAAAACCUCAGCACAACAUAUGCAACAUAACAUCUCAAGUAAACCUAUAGAAGUGACAUUUGAGAAACUUAAAAAAAAAGGAACAAGCUCAUCAGGGGCUUGGGAGCAUUGAUGUGAGGUCUUGACCUUCAGGGAAAUUCUCCGUGUCCUAGAAGUACCUAAAUGGAUGAAUAGAAAGUCACAAUAAGACAGAAGGCGACUAAAAUGUCACACCAAAGCAUGCUAAGAGCCAGUUCUUUUGGGCAAUUCUCCGAGAAUUGACCCCCUCCCCAGCUUCUCCCAGAAUUGCCACUCUAUAUUUUCUUACAAUUCCUAGCUAACUAGAUCUUAACUAGCUAGGAAUUGUAAAAAAAGAUGAAGUGGCAAUUCUAGGAGAAGCUGUGGAGGGGGUCAAUUCUCGGAGAAUUGCCCAAAAGAACUGGCCCUAAGUUGUUGUCCACCAGGUCUUUCACAGAUUGUUAUGUAUUAUAUUUCCUUCCCAUUAGUGUAUAAGGUUGUGCACGAAGGUCACCAAGGUAAGAACAUGCAGAAAUUAAAUCGAAGUUGGUCAGAUACGCAAAUAGCAUCCUAUAUUAGUAAACAGAGGUGCAUACUUCCAUUUAUCAGUAGAUUUCAACUUAUGUUUAUUUUUGUAUAAAGAAUAAUAAAUGUAUAUGUCUAGUAAAAAAACUAUAAAAUCAUGUACUACAUCAGUAAAAUCGAUACGAUCCAACGUAGCACAUGUUGUGAUAAUAUGCACAGCCGGUCGACAUAGAACCUAACUUGUGCUACAUCAUUUAGAUUAAAAAGGACGGGGAAGCUACUACAACUUCCUGUACUGGUCAUCUAAUACAAAUAAACAAUGCAAGAAAAGCCUCUUUUACUUAGACCAUACAUAACAACGAGAGAUGGGAUGGUGACCAUGUAAAAUAAAUUACCGGCAGUGGAGAUCAGCGACAAUCGUGACUCGUCACCAUAAAAGCCAUAAGCCCUCCCACACUCAUCAUACAUAAAUACACAAGAACAUAAGAAAAUAUAUUUUUUAGGAAAAAUGUUCAAAAAUACACAUUUUUUGCUUGUGAUGAUAUACAUGCAGCAGUUAAUGUAUUAUCCAUAAAACAAAGAAUGUAUGCCUCAUAUUAAUCAUCCUUUCACACAUAACUUAACAUGCAGCAAAAGGAUUUAAUCUAUAGUUCAAGAUCAAAAUGAAUGAGUCAUUUACAGUUAGGCAAUUAUUGAUUAUAAUGGAGUGUGAAGACAUCAUAUAUUUACUUGAUGGAAAUUGCAGUCAAGAAAAGCAUAGAAUGAGUCAAGUACCUUCUGGUUUGCCCAAUUUGCUUGUGGUCAUCAAAGGUGUUCUCGAGAUCAAACAACCAAGUAUGAACUCCCAAACUUCUGACCAAAUAGCAGGGUGUACACCUUAAACCACAGAGAAUAGAGAGCCGGCCCGUGUUAGAGAUUUAUAUGAGAGGUAGGCAAAAAAGUAAUGGUCUUAAAAUAAAAUGAGGGAUGUCUCAGAUAUCUUUACCCUUGUCAGAAUCCAGUUUAGAACAUAGGGAAUAUUUAGGGAGCCUUGUUGCAGAAAUAUAGCAUGCCAUUUUCAAUCACCCAAUGUUUUUCAAGCUGAAACUGAACGGAUUGGCACUAUUGAUUUAUCACACUUCUCAGAGAUCAGAAUCCUUCCCAUGGCGCCUCAUUCCGACUGUACACAUACCCAUGCCAAAUUAAUCACAUUUGUAGAACGGUG
Molecule: long non-coding RNA, 1850 nt
Filed under: Triticum aestivum (bread wheat)
Lineage: Eukaryota; Viridiplantae; Streptophyta; Magnoliopsida; Poales; Poaceae
Description: long non-coding RNA (TAES_LNC007978)
Source: RNAcentral